AUACAAACCAAAGAAGGACAAAAAUUUUUAACUAUACUUUAUAACUUGAAUUUGGAUUUUUUUCUCCUUAAGCGUCUUAUAUUCCAAAAUAACACUCUCAUUUAGAAGGAGAUUUUGGAAUAGGAGGACGUUUCCUCCCAUUGUCAUUUUUACUAACAUGUUUUGCAUCUUGUUUUCUUGUAAUAACUUUUGGUAAUUCUACUUUUUUAGGAACCUCCAAUAUAACUUCUUUCACAGCUGGGAGUAUCUUGACAACAUUUGUAUUAGAAGAAAGACCAAUUUCAAGCAUUCUAGAUGUCUCUAAAGGAGGGAAUUCUUUAAUUGAAUCAAGAGCUGGUUCCACCUCCUUAAGAACUUCAAAUCCCCCAGAAGUCAAUUUAUCCUCCUCCCUAUAGUUUUGGAGUAGUAACUUCUUGAGAUUGUUGAGAAUCAUAAAUACCAACAAAAGAAUCUUCAGUAUUAGGCUGACAAAUAUCAAAGCCAAAGAGUAAGUUUUUAUCCUCUUGUUUUUUUUUCUUCUACCAGAAAUAUUCUCAGAAGAUAAAUUUUCUUUACCACCUUCUUUUUGAGUUGAUUCUUUCCUUUUGAUUCUGCAUUCAUAUACCAAAUGACCAACCACCUGACAAUAAGAGCAAAAUUUAGGAAUCUUAGGAAUGAGAAUCUUCUGUGAGAAACCUCCAUAUUUAGUCUUGACCCAUACUUUAUCUGGAAUGGCUUUAGCAAGAUCAAUCUCAACCAACGCACUAGCAUAAUAACCAAUUUUCCUUUGCACAGUAAAAUCAUCAACCUUUAUUGGUCUACCAAAAGCUCUCCCAGUGUCUAACGGAAUCUUCUCUGUCCAAUAUUCAAUACUUAAACCUGGUAAUUGAAACCAAACAAAAGCAGUAAAGGUUUUUUGAUUUGCUGGUUUAAAAUUCGGUUCCCAAUUACGAAGUUUCACACUCUGCUUCUCAACCUCCCAAUAUCCAGACCAAACAUGGUAUUUAUCUUCUUCAUUUUCAAGUUUGAUAACAAAAAAUACUUUACCCAAAGGUAUUAGUUGACAGUUACCCUUAAUCUUCCAUUGUGAUUUCAGAGAUUUUUCAGCAAUUUCCAAUGAAAACUUCGAAAAAUCCAAUCUACUUAUUAGGAUAAAUCGCCAUUCAUUAAUACAAGUAUCUAUAUCUUCAUCUGAAAUACAAACUUCAGGUUCAUCCAUUCUACGUUCAUCUGAAUUUUUUGUAGAAUCACCAAAAAAACCAGAUCCAAAUUUUUUCCCAUCGAAACUUUGUUCAAUGGUUUUUCAAACUAUAAACUAGAUUCAGACAAAUUUAAACCAAAAACUAGAGUAAACAAGAUGAGAACUGCCGCCUAUCAUUUAUGAAUUCAAGAAAAAUCACCUGAAAUUAAUGAAGAGCACAGAAUUCAACAACAGAAAUUUUUGAUUUUCUUCAACUGAGUUGAUCGCCGAUCCUCACUCUCUCCUCAACUCGCCCGGUUCAAAAAGGGGAGAAUUAAUGUGUAGUGUACCCUUAAGUCUCUUAGAAAAAUCAUGAACUUAGGGUAAGGUGACCUUAGGGUAAGAAGGGGUAGAGAAAAUUCCUCGAGCCAAUGUCCGAGUACCAGGCGCUACGGCGCUGAAGUAACUCAUGCCAUACUCACAGGAAAAGCUCGAACGACCUUCUACAAAAGGGUACUUGUACCCGAAACCGACACAGGUAGGUAGGUAGAGAAUACCUGGGGGCGCGAGACAACUCUCUCUAAGGAACUCGGUAAAAUAUCCCCGUAAAUUCGGGAGAAAGGGUGCCUCCUCACAAAGAGGGUCGCAGUGACCAGGCCGGGGCAACUGUUUACCAAAAACACAGGUCUCCGCAAAGUCGUAAGACCAUGUAUGGGGGCUGACGCCUGCCCAGUGCCGGAAGGUCAAGGAAUUGGUGACCUAAUGACAGAGAAUCCGGCGACCGAAGCCCCGGUGAACGGCGACCGUAACUAUAACUGUCGUAAGGUAGCGAAAUUUCUUCUCGGGUAAGUUCCGACCCGCACAAAAGACGUAACGAUAUGGGCACUGUCUCAGAGAGAGGCUCGGUGAAAUAAACAUGUCUGUGAAGAUGCGGACUACCUGCACCUAGAUAGAAAGACCCUAUGAAGCUUUACAGUUCCCUGGGAUUGGCUUUGGGAUUUUCCUGCGCAACUUAGGUGGAAGGCGAAGAAGGCCUCCUUCCGGGGGGUCCGAGCCAUCAGUGAGAUACCAAUCUGGAAGAGCUAGAAAUCUAACCUUGUUACAGGACCUACGGGCCAAGGGACAGUCUCAGGUAGACGGUUUCUAUGGGGCGUAGGCCUCCCAAAAGGUAAUGGAGGCGUGCAAAGGUUUCCUCGGGGCGUACGGAGAUUGGCCCUUGAGUGAAAAGGCAUAAGGGAGAUUGACUGCAAGACCCACCCGUCGUGCAUGGACGAAAUUCGGCCUUAGUAAUCCGAUGGUGCCGAGUGGACUGGCCAUCGCUCAACGGAUAAAAGUUACUCUAGGGAUAACAUGCUGAUCUUCCCCAAGAGUUCACAUCGACGGGAAGGUUUGGCACCUCGAUGUCGGCUCUUCGCCAACUGGGGCUGUAGUAUGUUCCAAGGGUUGGGUUGUUCGCCCAUUAAAGCGGUACGUGAGCUGGGUUCAGAACGCUGUGAGACAGUUCGGUCCAUACGCGGUGUGGGCGUUAGAGCAUUGAGAGGACCGGGAAGGACGCACCUCUGGUAUACCAGUUAUCGUGCCCACGGUAAACGCUGGGUAGCCAAGUGCGGAGCGGAUAACUGCUGAAAGCAUCUAAGUAAUAAUCCCACCCCAAGAUGAGUGCUCUCCUAUUCCGACUUCCCCAAAGCCUCCGGUAGCACAGCCGAGACAGCGACGGGUUCUCUUCCCCUGCGGGGAUAGAGCGACAGAAGUUUUGAGAAUCCAAGAGAAGGUCACAACGAGACGAGUCGUUUAUCAUUACGAUAGGUGUCAAGUGGAAGUGUAGUGAUGUAUGCAGCUGAGGCAUCCUAACAGACUGAUAGACUUGAAC
Molecule: ribosomal RNA, 3029 nt
Filed under: Papaver somniferum (opium poppy)
Lineage: Eukaryota; Viridiplantae; Streptophyta; Magnoliopsida; Ranunculales; Papaveraceae
Description: bacterial LSU rRNA
Rfam family: Bacterial large subunit ribosomal RNA (bases 1281-3029)
Source: RNAcentral